This is a long non-coding RNA of Erigeron canadensis, 931 nucleotides long. RefSeq lists it as uncharacterized. The record is from RefSeq and is a predicted model, not a curated record. NCBI's taxonomy places the organism in Eukaryota, Viridiplantae, Streptophyta, Magnoliopsida, Asterales, Asteraceae. The transcript is spliced from 5 exons.
CGAGACUUCAGGACCAAAACACCAAUUGUUUCUGUAGAGUUGGGAGAAAUCUACAAAAUAACUAUCAUGUUAAAUGAUAUAUCUUCACUUGAUUAAUAAUGUCAUCCACAUUGUGUUAGUUUGAAUGAUGCUUACCUUUCUCCAACUCUCUCCAAGGAAUUCAUUGACAGCCAAGCCGUUCUGUCCGUACAUCAUAGGUGAAAACCAAUAACACCAUAUCCACCAACCUUUUAUGUCAUCUGCGGUGGAAAAUGGAUUUCGAAUGCAGAGUGGCUUUUUGAUCUAUCAAAUGGAGUAGCAAGUUCAUCCCCUAUCCUUCUUCCGAUGUGAAAUGACUGGAAUGCCUCUGCAAAUUCUCUUGAAGUGACAAAAAUAUGUCAAGAUCAGGAUCCGGUUUAAUGUUUGCAUCCUUUUCUCUCCUUGACAAUUCUGCCAACAUUUCUGCAAAAUUUUUGAAGUCAUGUGCCAGGUUAGACCCAACUGUAAGUACGGAUUCAGAUUUGACAUAAUCAUCAAGGAAGGUUCAGUCCUUGCUGUCUAUACUAUUUUCUCAGCAACGCCAUGCUCGAUAAAGGAAGAUCGGCGGGGCCUCGGCCACCAGUUCAAUCCCAAGGGCGACCGGCUUUUACCACCGGUCGGCCUUCAGGCGGGUGGGUUUUCUUCGGGACUUGGAGUUAACUGGGCUAGGCCAUCCAUCUGGUUUGGACCACUUGAUGCAUACCUUUAGCCAUUGGGCCGCCGCGUAUGGAGUGCCCGGAUUGUCUUAGUUGGUUGUGUUUUGAGCAUUCUCACGUAUGUAACACUUGAAUCACAUAAAGGUUGUGUACCCCUUAAGGUAAAUGGCACUAAUUGUUUCUCUUUCUCCUAAUGUGAAGCAUACCAUUAAUUAUAGUAAUUACAUUAUGUCCUUUUGAUUGCAUUCUGUAGUAAA